Molecule: ribosomal RNA, 677 nt
Filed under: uncultured Actinomycetes bacterium
Lineage: Bacteria; Bacillati; Actinomycetota; Actinomycetes
Description: bacterial SSU rRNA
Rfam family: Bacterial small subunit ribosomal RNA
Source: RNAcentral
CGCGGCCUAUCAGCUUGUUGGUGGGGUAACGGUCUACCAAGGCGAUUACGGGUAGCCGGCCUGAGAGGGCGACCGGCCACACUGGGACUGAGACACGGCCCAGACUCCUGCGGGAGGCAGCAGUGGGGAAUAUUGCGCAAUGGGCGAAAGCCUGACGCAGCGACGCCGCGUGGGGGAUGACGGCCUUCGGGUUGUAAACCUCUUUUACCACCAACGCAGGCUCCCGGUUCUCCGGGGGUUGACGGUAGGUGGGGAAUAAGGACCGGCUAACUACGUGCCAGCAGCCGCGGUAAGACGUAGGGCGCGAGCGUUGUCCGGAUUUAUUGGGCGUAAAGGGCUCGUAGGCGGCCCGCUGCGUCUGCUGUGAAAGGCCUCGGCUUAACCGCGGUUUUGCGGUGGAUACGGGCGUGCUUGAGGUAAGUAGGGGAAACUGGAAUUCUUGGUGUAGCGGUGAAAUGCGCAGAUAUGAGGAGGAACACCGGUGGCGAAGGCGGGUUUCUGGGCUUGUUCUGACGCUGAGGAGCGAAAGCGUGGGGAGCGAACAGGAUUAGAUACCCUGGUAGUCCAUGCUGUAAACGUUGGGCGCUAGGUGUGGGGACACUCCACUUGUUUCUGUGCCGUAGCUAACGCAUUAGCGCCCCCGCCUGGGAGGUACGGAAUCUCUAAGGGAUCCCCGG